CAAGUUCUGGAGGCAAGAACUGGAAACUGCCAAUCGAAACAGGCAUUGUGAUCUGGUGGCAAGAGCUUGCUGUCCUUCAUCCUGGGUUCUAGGAACAAUUCUGCUUGAUAUGUUCUAUGAUUUGUGGAAGAUCCCGGAGAAAGGAUGACAUUGAGAAGUCACCCCACCUCUGCCACCAAUGCCUGAUGGACAUAUAGCCUGAGACAUAGAUACAUCCUAUCAUUUAAGCCACUGAGAUUGAGAAUUUGGAGUUUGUUUUGACAGCAUAAGUUUACCUAACCAACUGAUACAUCUUCCAGCCUCAAACCCAAUCUUCCCUGUCCAGAGACAACCACGAUUAUGAAGUCAUUGGGAAUAGUUCCAUUCAUAUUUCCUAAAAAUUUCCAAAAGAGAAAGAGAAACAGAUAGAGCAAAGAGGGUGAGGGACAAGCAGUCUCUGCACUGAGCACAAAGCCUGACACGGAGUUUGAUCCUAUGACCCUGACAUCAUUACCUGAGCCAAAAGUCAUGAAUUGAUGUCUUCAAUGACUGAGCAACCCAGGUGAUCCUGUUGUUAGA
This is a long non-coding RNA of Nyctereutes procyonoides (raccoon dog), 558 nucleotides long. RefSeq lists it as uncharacterized. The transcript has 3 exons. The record is from RefSeq and is a predicted model, not a curated record. NCBI's taxonomy places the organism in Eukaryota, Metazoa, Chordata, Mammalia, Carnivora, Canidae.